Long non-coding RNA from Lytechinus pictus (painted urchin), 754 nucleotides. RefSeq lists it as uncharacterized. The transcript has 4 exons. NCBI's taxonomy places the organism in Eukaryota, Metazoa, Echinodermata, Echinoidea, Temnopleuroida, Toxopneustidae. The record is from RefSeq and is a predicted model, not a curated record.
AACAAAUGAGAUUAGGCUCCGCCUACCGCGAUCAUUUGAAGACAAAAAUAAGCCCUCAUUGACAUUCAUGAGCAUGAAGAUAUUCAUAAUCCGGCCUUUUCAUUGGCUAAGAGCGUCAUUAAUACGCGAUUUCCCCGAUUCUUUGUCAUCGAUACUAGUGGUAUCGUGUUACAGAAUUAAUUAUUCAUUUGACCUCAUUACGUCAUCUAAUUUAUUCAUUCUGAAACUUUUCUUUCCACACACAAAAUGGACCUACGAACACUCCGGUUGAGUUUGAAGAACAAGAAAAACAGUAGAGGUCUACCUAUAUGGUUCAAGAUGAUGAUCAUAAGUGCAUGCAUCAUUUUGCCGAUUCUCAUCCAGGAUGAUGCAGUUUUACAAUUUCCAUGGAGGUGAUUGAUGAUGAUAAAUAAUUGGUGAAGGAGGCCUAAUAGAACAGCGACUAGACCACAAAGAGAAAUACAACCUACAGCAGUUAUAUGAGACUGGUGUAACAGAUGUUUUCAUUCAAGAAAUCCAACAAUUCAAGAGUCUGACUUAGGAACCACUUGAUGAAGAUGGAAAAGGUUUUUUUUUUCCAAGUCCAAUUUUUCAAAAAAAAAAAAAUUAUUAUUACAACCCCAAAUUCAUGACGUAUGAAAUUUCUUGUUGAUUUUCAUUAAAACUGGUUGCAAAAGGAGAAGCUAUAAACAUACAAAUAGGAGCGGCGGAGUGAAGUUGAAAGUGGGGGGGGCAUAGGGAAAAUGCUGUAUUA